This 192-nucleotide unclassified non-coding RNA is filed under the name Thysanorea curvata. Its description in RNAcentral is "Minimelanolocus curvatus partial internal transcribed spacer 2". Lineage: Eukaryota; Fungi; Ascomycota; Eurotiomycetes; Chaetothyriales; Herpotrichiellaceae. The record is from RNAcentral. RNAcentral also lists the same sequence under 1 other name.
UCACCCCUCAAGCCCCCGGCUUGGUGUUGGACGGUUUGGUGACAGAGCCUUCGGGCAACGGUCACCCCUCCCAAAGACAAUGACGGCGGCCUCGUUGGACCCCCGGUACACUGAGUUCCUCACCGAACACGUACUGGAUCAAGGGCCCGCGGAGCACGGUCUGCCUCCCCUCAGGGAGAACUUUUAUCUCAA